RNAcentral lists this ribosomal RNA (301 nucleotides) under uncultured bacterium. RNAcentral's name for it is "partial 16S ribosomal RNA". It matches the Rfam family "Bacterial small subunit ribosomal RNA", at positions 509 to 807 of the family's 1533-position model. The record is from RNAcentral.
CAGUAGCCGCGGUAAUACAGAGGGUGCAAGCGUUAAUCGGAAUUACUGGGCGUAAAGCGCGCGUAGGUGGUUCGCCAAGUUGGAUGUGAAAUCCCCGGGCUCAACCUGGGAACUGCAUCCAAAACUGGCGAGCUAGAGUAUGGUAGAGGGUGGUGGAAUUUCCUGUGUAGCGGUGAAAUGCGUAGAUAUAGGAAGGAACACCAGUGGCGAAGGCGACCACCUGGGCUCAUACUGACACUGAGGUGCGAAAGCGUGGGGAGCAAACAGGAUUAGAUACCCCGGUAGUCCCUGUCUCUUAUAC